UAGCCUAGUGGUUAAGGCUAUGGAUCGCCAAUCCAGAGACGGCGGGUUCGAUUCCCGAU
Non-coding RNA from Aedes albopictus (Asian tiger mosquito), 59 nucleotides. The record is from Rfam. NCBI's taxonomy places the organism in Eukaryota, Metazoa, Arthropoda, Insecta, Diptera, Culicidae.